GUCCAGGGGCGGGAAUCGAACCCACAACCUUCCGCUUACCGGGCAGAUGCCAUGUCCACUAAGCUACCCUGGA
This is a non-coding RNA of Cordylochernes scorpioides, 73 nucleotides long. NCBI's taxonomy places the organism in Eukaryota, Metazoa, Arthropoda, Arachnida, Pseudoscorpiones, Chernetidae. The record is from the annotation of a GenBank genome assembly.